CGGUCCUCUUUGCCAGUCCGGCGAAGGUGCACUUUUAUCGGACACUUUUAGCUUGACGAGCGGGAAAUAAUUGUAGCUUUCAAUCAUUGUUGUGUGUUUUUUAUUUUAAUGUCGUGGUAUUUCACAUGUCUAGGGACAGACGAGGACACGAGGGCCUUAAUCCCGUGGCGGUCGGAUAACAAAUCCCUCUUCACGGGGAAGAGGAACGCCUCCGUGACUGGAUUUGAGGUCUUCAUAAAGGAGAGAGGGCUUGGGAGGUUGGAUCCCAAGCUCGUGAAAAAGAGGUGGGAGAACCUCGUUCACAAAUAUAAGGUCAGAUUAAGCCUAGUGUCCAACAAAGCCUAGUCCAAUAAAGUAUCUUUCUUGAUCAUAACUUUGCCCCUGUAGAGUAACACACUUGCACAAUGUAGAGAUGGCAUGGCUAGUGAGUAUUUACAUGCAGUGUACAUGUACAUGGAUGCAAUAUAUUAUGAUUAGGGUGAUUGUUGUUACUCUUGUUCUUAUCUAUGUAUUGUGCUCAAAGUAAUGUAAAGUAAUCGUAUGGUCAGCCUUCAGUUCAAUAACCAAUUACCAGAUCAGUUGAAGGCGCAAUGAUGUGCAACUCCAGUUUGGCUGUCUUUUCAUCCGCAGGAGCUCAAGAAACCCCGGACGGGUGUGAGCACAGAGGGGGGUGGGGUCACUGCUGCUUCUUGGAAGUGGUAUGCCCUUAUGGAUGAGGCACUGGGGACCAGGCCAUCUGUGACCCCUCCAGUCCUCUUUGCCUCAUCCAGCCGCUGUGGUCACACCCCUCCCGGUCAGGAAUGCAAGUGGAGCUUCCUCCACAGUGUCAACCCCAAAAAGACGGAGGGUAGACAAUGUGGAGAUUGCCAAGGUCAUUGAAGAAAAUGACAGGAGGAUCUCCGAGGCAUGGGCGGAGAUGGAGGAGAGACAUAGGAGAGCAGAGGAGGCCAGGUUGAGCGAGGCAAGGGAGGUUGCCGAGAGAGAGGAGCGGCGACACAGGGAGGCCCUGGAGAGGGAAGAAUGUCGCCACAGGGAGACGGUUGCCUUAGAGGAGAGAAGGUUUCAUUUUCUCAGAGAGAGUGAGGAGAGGAGAGAGAGAGAGGCAGCCGCCAGAGAGAGGGAGACAGCAGCAGAGAGGAGGGAGACAGCAGCGAGAGAGGAGCGGCGAGAGAGGGAGACAGCCGCCAGAAUGAGUGAGGCAGCUGCCAGAGAGGAGCGCCUCCUCACCCUUUUGGAGAGAAUUUCUGGACAAAAAUAAAGCCUGGUUACUUAAGAUUUAUGUACAUGUCUGUUUACUAACACUUAACCCGUAGGGGGCUGAGGCCUGUUUUACUUUUCUAGGAAGUCAAUAGUGACCACUGAAUUUCCAUACCCUUAUCAUAUGAGUAGCUGUCAUUUGCUAAUGGGCGGGCUGUUAGGAGCUCAUACUGAAAUGUGCAAGAGAUUAGUUAUAUUCUUCUCAUAAAAUGCUUAUUUAUAUUUUAGUUUUAAACUGCAUACAUUUGAAAAGUAGUCUCUUGUGGAAUUUUAGAGGCAUAUUGACAAAAUAAUUUGCUAAACAAGUGAAAUGGUGAUGGUGAAAUAUUACAAACUCAUAAAUUGUUUGCCAAUUAUAGGGCAAUUCUGGUGUUCAGAACCCCCUAUAAAUAUUUAUUGCAUUAAUUUAAAUGUAGUCAUGGUCUGGGACAUAGCACUGAAUGGCUAUCCUUUCUCUGUUUUCUGCCCCAGAGACGUUUCCUGGAGGUGCUGGUGCUGGUUCUGGUGCUGGCUGGUCCUCUGCUGCCCUCCCGACAUCUGCAUCUGGCUCCAGCAGGUCACCGUUGGUGAGGCAGAUGUUGUGGAGCACAGUGCAGCAGACAAUGACCUCUGGCACAAACCUCACAUCCACCUCCAGGGCCUUCAAGAAGAUGGACCGCCAUCGCGUCUUCAGUAUCCCAAAGGACCUCUCCACAACACACCUCGCCUUUGACAGGCAGCAGUUGUAGCGUGCUUGGAGGUGGUUGCGGACAGGCUGCCUGAAGGGGGUCAUGAGGCAGAUGGGUUGGGACAGGCAGGGGUAGCCACCAUCCCCAAGGAUACAGUAUCCUGGUGGAGGGUAUGACUGCUCAUAGUAGAUGGGGCUGUUUUUUAGGACCCUGGCAUCAUGCACUGAGCCUGGGUAGCCCACACACACAUCUAUAAAUUUGCACUUAUCAUCACAGAUGGCCUGCAGCUGGAUGGAGUGAAAAAGCUUCCUGUUGAAAUAACAGGCAGCAUCCUCCGCUGGGGGCUUUACUCGGAUGUGGCAGCCAUCAAUAGCCCCCACCACUCUGCUGAAGGCUGCUGACCCAGCUAGACGGGCGAAGCGGGCACCUAGGCGUGGGAGUUCCUCUCCUGUAGGGUGGCGGACAACGGUGUACAGGAGCGCAGCGAUCUGCCCACUCAUCCUGUGCACCAGCCGGUGAACGGUGGCCCGGGGCAUGUCGAAGGCCCUGGCCACCACCCGAUAGGAGGUGGCGCUGGCAAGCCAAAAAAUAAAAACAAGACAGGAGAUCUCAGGGCCCCAACCAUGGUCACAAUCAGUGCCCAGCACAGCCAUGAGGGCGUUAAAUGACUCUCGGGUGAGCCUGAAGUCCACCCUCAUGUCACUGUGGCCAUCAAAAUACAAUGCCAGCAGUGGCAUUGCAACAUUGAUACGGCAGCGCCGCCUGGGACUGGGUGGCUGCUGUAGAGUGUGUGGGGAGGGGAAGGGAAGAUUAUAUUAAUAUGUAAGUAAUUUUAUCAAUAAAAUAUUGUCAUUGAG
Molecule: long non-coding RNA, 2782 nt
Organism: Clupea harengus (Atlantic herring)
Lineage: Eukaryota; Metazoa; Chordata; Actinopteri; Clupeiformes; Clupeidae
Exons: 2
Source: RefSeq, a predicted model, not a curated record